ACGCUCGACACCUACGGGAGCAGCAGUGGGGGAUAUUGCACAAUGGGGGAAACCCUGAUGCAGCAACGCCGCGUGAAGGAAGAAGGUCUUCGGAUUGUAAACUUCUGUCCUCAGGGAAGAUAAUGACGGUACCUGAGGAGGAAGCUCCGGCUAACUACGUGCCAGCAGCAGCGGUAAUCUGAGCGGGCUGGCAAGGC
Molecule: ribosomal RNA, 197 nt
Filed under: uncultured bacterium
Lineage: Bacteria
Description: partial 16S ribosomal RNA
Rfam family: Bacterial small subunit ribosomal RNA
Source: RNAcentral